Long non-coding RNA from Myxocyprinus asiaticus (Chinese sucker), 1400 nucleotides. RefSeq lists it as uncharacterized. Lineage: Eukaryota; Metazoa; Chordata; Actinopteri; Cypriniformes; Catostomidae. The transcript is spliced from 3 exons. The record is from RefSeq and is a predicted model, not a curated record.
UGUCCACUCAUUCGUUCAGUUGACGUGCCAAGUUAUACAUGGGAAAGAAAAAACAAACAAACGGUAAAAUACAUUUUCACAUUCAGAAUGUUCUAAUAACUUCCCAGAGGAUAUAUGGACUUACUACAGGGUGUAGUAACUUCUUAGAGGACAGAUGGACUUACUACAGGUUGUAGUAACUUCCCAGAGGAUAGACGGACUUCAUACAGAUGCGAUCAUUACAGUAUUUUUAACAAUAUGAGUACAAUAAUGAAUUAUUUUAGAAAAUAAUAAAUAGUUGUGCUUUUCCACCUCCACCCACAUAUUUAUUGUGCUAGUGUCUUCUUUUUCCCUGUGAAUUUAUACUCUGCCUGUUAUUUAGCUUUUUGUCUGUUCCUGCUACUUGUUCAGGGAGUUUUGUAUGUUCCUUGUGUGUCUCUUAAAUUAAGGCUUUUUUCAUCUGGUUUUCUGCCUCCCUGCCUGUUGCGACCAAUGCUACUUUACGUUUUUCUUGCCCUGAUUUAAUGAAUUUGCCCUCUGAUUGGACUUUCACUAUAAAUUCAGUUCUGUUCUCCCUGCUCUACCCAUGAAUGGCUGGGCAGUGAGAGCCUAGAAAAGAAGCAUACAAUGAAAUUAUUACUUCAAAUGAAAGUAAAAUUGAUACACUUGAUGCAAAUGGUCCUGACUGAAACAACCAUCGAUUAAAACCAUUGUAUCCCUUAAAUUAUCCAAUGUCACUCAAAGCCAAUUAAUUAGCAACAACUUAUUCAGUUAUUUACUGAAAUAAAAUGAAAAACACUGCAAAUUGACUUGCCUGUCACAUUCUUUAAAGAACAUCCCAAAUUAAUUUAAAAUAGUCUUACAGAAGGAAUAAAAAUAUAGCAUAAUAGCAAUAAACUUUUUUGGUGGAAUAUUUGUUAUGAAUUUGUUAUAAAUUUUGUUAAUGGAAAUGUAGUGAAUAUACCUAAGUUUAGAAAACAAUUUAUGACAGCAUUAACAUAACAACUUGGGGAUCAUUAUAAAAGAAUUUUUGAAAAAAUAAAUACCACAGAUGUCCUACUUAUUUGUUACUGGGAAUUAUCACAGUAAUAUUAUUGUCAUGUUUUAAGGUGUUUUAAACAUUUUCCACCAUAUUUAUUAGUCCUGUCUCUUCAUUGGUCUAUGUUUAUGAGUCUUGUUAUCAGUUCUCUUUAUCAUUGGUUCUUGUUUCAUUGCCUUGUUAUCAUGUUCAUUAGUUUAGUCUCGUCAUUGGUUGUCUCUGUCAUGUGGUUACCCAUGUUCAUGUAUUUAAGCCCUCAUAUUUGCCAUUGUCUUUUUUCAAGUAUUGUUUUGGUGUAACGUUGUCAAGUCAAGUAAUUUAUGUUUGUUUCGUAUUGGAUUUCACGUUGUUAAUAAAUACUGCACUUGGGUUCACUCGUCAU